GACGAACGCUGGUGGCGUGCUUAACACAUGCAAGUCGAACGGGAUUUAGUAAACAGAAGCCUCGGUGGAAGAUUACUAAUGAGAGUGGCGAACGGGUGAGUAACGCGUGAGCAACCUGCCUAUGACAGUGGGAUAGCCUCGGGAAACCGGGAUUAAUACCGCAUAAAAUCGUAGAAACACAUGUUUUAACGGUCAAAGAUUUAUCGGUCAUAGAUGGGCUCGCGUCUGAUUAGCUAGUUGGUGAGAUAACAGCCCACCAAGGCGACGAUCAGUAGCCGGUCUGAGAGGAUGAACGGCCACAUUGGAACUGAGACACGGUCCAAACUCCUACGGGAGGCAGCAGUGGGGAAUAUUGCACAAUGGGGGAAACCCUGAUGCAGCGACGCCGCGUGAACGAAGAAGGUAUUCGUAUCGUAAAGUUCUGUCCUAUGGGAAGAUAAUGACAGUAACAUAGAAGAAAGCUCCGGCUAAAUACGUG
RNAcentral lists this ribosomal RNA (478 nucleotides) under uncultured bacterium. RNAcentral's name for it is "partial 16S ribosomal RNA". It matches the Rfam family "Bacterial small subunit ribosomal RNA", at positions 28 to 507 of the family's 1533-position model. The record is from RNAcentral.